GGGAAAUAAAAGUUAAGUUACCUAUAUAAAGUUGUUACAUAUUAUAGUUAAGUCUAUAUGCCAUAAAGUUAUGGUUCCAUUAAAACUUUAAUUUCAAGCAAAACAGCUAAAUAUAUAUUAACAAACAGAUAAAUUGGAUACGUGACAGCACUUACUCAUGAAUUAAUAUUCAAUUACACGUUUAAUCAGGCGCUCAACAAAUUCGAAACUUUUAUAGUGGACAUAUAUUAUGUUCUGUUGAAUAUUUUGGAAGAAAUAUUUAUUUGCCAACUUCACGACGGAAAGGGAAUAAAAUUAUGCUACCCAUAAAGAAAUAUUCAUAUAUGCUACAAUUAUCGAUGUAGUAUCUUGCCUGAACAAAUAAUGUCUCGUAUCAACAGUCACACGACAAAAAUGGAAUACAAUAUAACGGAAAAG
Octopus sinensis (East Asian common octopus) is the source of this 417-nucleotide long non-coding RNA. RefSeq lists it as uncharacterized. The record is from RefSeq and is a predicted model, not a curated record. The transcript has 3 exons. Lineage: Eukaryota; Metazoa; Mollusca; Cephalopoda; Octopoda; Octopodidae.